UUCAACAUGAGAGUUUGAUCCUGGCUCAGGAUGAACGCU
RNAcentral lists this ribosomal RNA (39 nucleotides) under Kineothrix alysoides. RNAcentral describes it as "partial 16S ribosomal RNA". The record is from RNAcentral. Lineage: Bacteria; Bacillati; Bacillota; Clostridia; Lachnospirales; Lachnospiraceae.